This 253-nucleotide unclassified non-coding RNA is filed under the name uncultured Chitinophagales bacterium. Its description in RNAcentral is "contains 16S-23S intergenic spacer region". It matches the Rfam family "Bacterial small subunit ribosomal RNA", at positions 524 to 776 of the family's 1533-position model. The record is from RNAcentral. Lineage: Bacteria; Pseudomonadati; Bacteroidota; Chitinophagia; Chitinophagales.
UACGGAGGGUGCAAGCGUUGUCCGGAUUCAUUGGGUUUAAAGGGUGCGUAGGCGGGUCUGUAAGUCAGUGGUGAAAGUCUGCGGCUCAACCGUAGAAUUGCCAUUGAUACUGCAGGUCUUGAGUGCAGUCGAUGUGAUUGGAAUACGUAGUGUAGCGGUGAAAUGCAUAGAUAUUACGUAGAACACCGAUAGCGAAGGCAGAUCGCAAGGCUGUAACUGACGCUGAGGCACGAAAGCGUGGGGAGCAAACAGG